Molecule: long non-coding RNA, 258 nt
Filed under: Setaria viridis
Lineage: Eukaryota; Viridiplantae; Streptophyta; Magnoliopsida; Poales; Poaceae
Description: long non-coding RNA (SVIR_LNC008673)
Source: RNAcentral
AGAAGGAUGAGGGAAAAUGGAGCUGGGAAGAAGCUGCGUGCAUGGUGUGUCGGGAGUGGUAGGCAAAAGGAAACCAGACACCAGAUCUCCGAGCAAUACCAGCACAUUAGUGUUUUGCCGGACUCACUAAAGAAGAAUAAAAAGUUGUACCGUAAUUAACUCGCAGCCUGCGUUAAACAGUCCAACAUACUUUGUUUUGUGAUAAAAAAGAGAGAACAUGUACAGUGAUUAAUUCAGAGUAUCUUUUCAUUGUUCUCA